GGGGUUUUAGCUUAAUUAAAGCAUCUGGGUUGCAUUCAGAAUAUGUGAGGUUAUCUCGCAAAUCCUA
This 67-nucleotide transfer RNA is filed under the name Eurycea bislineata (two-lined salamander). Its description in RNAcentral is "tRNA-Ala". It matches the Rfam family "tRNA". From Rfam's summary of the family: Transfer RNA (tRNA) molecules are approximately 80 nucleotides in length. Their secondary structure includes four short double-helical elements and three loops (D, anti-codon, and T loops). The record is from RNAcentral. Lineage: Eukaryota; Metazoa; Chordata; Amphibia; Caudata; Plethodontidae.